AUUGAACGCUGGCGGCAGGCUUAACACAUGCAAGUCGAGCGGGGGAAGGUAGCUUGCUACCGGACCUAGCGGCGGACGGGUGAGUAAUGCUUAGGAAUCUGCCUAUUAGUGGGGGACAACAUCUCGAAAGGGAUGCUAAUACCGCAUACGUCCUACGGGAGAAAGCAGGGGAUCUUCGGACCUUGCGCUAAUAGAUGAGCCUAAGUCGGCUUAGCUAGUUGGUGGGGUAAAGGCCUACCAAGGCGACGAUCUGUAGCGGGUCUGAGAGGAUGAUCCGCCACACUGGGACUGAGACACGGCCCAGACUCCUACGGGAGGCAGCAGUGGGGAAUAUUGGACAAUGGGGGGAACCCUGAUCCAGCCAUGCCGCGUGUGUGAAGAAGGCCUUAUGGUUGUAAAGCACUUUAAGCGAGGAGGAGGCUACUCUAGUUAAUACCUAGGGAUAGUGGACGUUACACGCAGAAUAAGCACCGGCUAACUCUGUGCCAGCCGCCGCAGUAA
This 501-nucleotide ribosomal RNA is filed under the name uncultured bacterium. Its description in RNAcentral is "partial 16S ribosomal RNA". It matches the Rfam family "Bacterial small subunit ribosomal RNA", at positions 30 to 523 of the family's 1533-position model. The record is from RNAcentral.